Molecule: long non-coding RNA, 8967 nt
Filed under: Manihot esculenta (cassava)
Lineage: Eukaryota; Viridiplantae; Streptophyta; Magnoliopsida; Malpighiales; Euphorbiaceae
Description: long non-coding RNA (MESC_LNC004372)
Source: RNAcentral
AAAAAAAAAAAAUUACAUAUCACAAAUUGGAUCGGAGCAUAACUUUCGGUUCACUUUCAGUUUCAGUUUCAGUUUCAGUUUCAAUUUCAGUUUCUUCUUCGGGGUUGAAAAACUUCAUCAUGGUAGGAUUCACAGAACUGAACCCUCCAUCAACCAAAAGAUUAAGUCCACUCACAUAAUUAGCUUCAUCACUGGCCAGAUACAGCGCAGCCUUCGCCACUCCAUCUGCCCUGAGAAUCUGCCCUUUGAGAUUCCCAAUUUCACUCAGUGCUUGCUCUGCAACAGCUAGUUCAUCUUCUCCCAAAACUGUUCCUCCAAUGGCGGUCACCACUCCAAAAGGUGAAACACAGUUCACUCUUAUCCCAUGUUUCCCUAAUUCAGCAGCCAGAUUCUUCACCAGCCCCCAUAUCCCAUGUUUUGUUACGGCAUAAGCAUGAGUUGAAAGCCCUCCAAUUGCUGUACAAGCACUUGAUGUGAACAAUAUGCAGCCAUGGCGCUGAGGAACCAUCACUCUCGCUGCAUGUUUAGCUCCGAGGAAAGCACCGACCAAGUUGACGCUGAUUAGCCGAUCCAGCUCUGGUUUUGUUGUGUCCAAAAUGCUCCCAAAAGGGCGAUCUAUGAUUCCGGCGUUGUUGAACAUUACAUCGAGCUUACCAUAUUUGGCGACAGUGGUGUCCACAAGCUUGCUGAUUUCAUCUUCGUUUCUAACAUCGCAGUGGAAGUAGAAAACGUUUUUACCACCAAGCUUAUUGACGAUGUCUCGGCCUAGGUUGUCUUGGAUGUCUGCAAUCACAACCUUGGCUCCAUUUUCAUGAAAAAGUUGAACUGUAGUUGCUCCGAUGCCGCUUGCUCCACCGGUUAUAAUUGCCACUUUCCCUGCUAACCUGAAAUUGGGACGCCAAAACAAAAAGUGAAACAAGUAGAGAAAAAGUUUCACCACCAGUGAAUCCUUGUAAUUAUUACUCAUACGGAUACAACUUUAUCAAAACUCUGUGAUAAAAGAACAAACAAGAGAAUGGAAAAAAACAUUUUGGUUACCUUUGAUAAGGAUAGGGGGCUACUUGGGAUUUCACAUUCAUCUUUUCCAUGAAAAUAUAUCAGAAAUUUCUAAGAAGCAAAGAGAAAUUGGAGGUUUCGCCUCCUCCUUUUGUGCUUCCUUCUUAGUCUUGUGUUCUGGGAUUUAUAGAAGAGCAGAAGUAAAAGAAGUUAAUGUAGGUAGUUGAUAUGCAAAAUUCUUACCUGUAUCUAUAAAUAUUCAACUAAUUGUAAGCCGUCAGUAUAACGAGUCUUACCAUGAUUUUAACAUGUAGACAUGAAAUGUUUUAAUUGAUUGAAUAUGUACAGAUGUGAAAUUUUUUUUUUUUUUAUCUUCUCUCUCCUCCCUCUCCCUUUCUAGUUUUCUAUAUUAGUAAACUUGUCAAACUAUGAAGCCAAGCAGGAUACUGUUAAAGGGUAGUUAGUUAGAUUUACUGAACUGUCCAUUUGACGAUUUUUUUUUCUCAAUUUAAGUGUCUAUUUAUAAGAAUAUAAAAAAAUAUUAAUGUAAUUUUAUCAAUUUUUAUUUUAAAAUACGCAUAUAUUAAAAUAAUAUUUAUAAUAUUGUGUUGUUAAUAAAUAACAGUAAUUUUUAGACUAUAAUAUUAAUAUAAAAAUUAUAUCAUAAUAUAUUAAUAAAUUGAUAUUUAAAUUUUAAAAUAAAAAUAAAUAAACUUAUAAAAUAUUUUUUAAUUAAUAAUUAUAUUUUAUUUAUUACAUAAAUAUUUUUUUCGACAUUUACUUAAAUUGAAUUAUAAAUUUUAAAAUAAAAAUAAAUAAAAUCACAUACUAUUUUUUUUAUAAAAUUAAAAUAUUUUUAUAAAAAUAAUUUUAAAUGUCAAUACAAUUAAUAAAUUGUAUAAUUUUCAACCUUUCAUAUACGGAUAUCUUAGAAAAUAUUAGCCCAAUUAAUUUAUUCUAAUCAUUACUUAAUUCUAAUAAAUUUAGUAAAAGGGACACUUAUUAAAAAAUAGAGGGUGUAAUUAGUUAGAUGUGUAUCAUGAGUAAUUUAAGCUCUGUUUCUUUCAAAAAAUUAUUUUCUAAUAUUUUUAGAUAUUCAAAAAAUUUAGUUGAUUAAAAAUAUUUUUUAUCAAAUAAAAAAUUAAAUCACUUUUAAAAAAAGUCAAUUUUUGAAGAAAAAAAUUAUUUUUCAUAUUUUAAAAUCUUAUUAAAAUUUAUAUAUAUAAAUUUGUGUAUAUAUUAUAUUUUUUAAAUUAAAAUUUAAUAAUAAAAAAUUAUUUUUUAAAAAAUAUUGUUUAAAUAUAAAUUAUUUUUACAAAUAAACGAGGUUUAGUGUACUUAUAUAAAAAUGUUAGCCUCGUUUGUCAACGAGAAUUGCAUUUUCUCUAAGUUCAUGCACUUCUUGUGACACAAAUUAUCAAUAUUAUUGUUACAGGCAACAUUAAAUUUCACUAUGGUAAACAGAUCAGAACGGUGAUAUAGAGUUUUAAUUCUUCCAAUCUCGAACUAAAUCUCUUUAUUUUAACUAGAAGUAAUUAGAAUCAAAAUUAAUUUAUUUUUUUAAUAAAAAAAAAUUAUUUAUAUGAAAAAUAUAAAAUUUUAUACUAUUUUAUAAUUAAAUUUAAAAUUUUAAAAUAUAAACAAAGCUUAAUUUUUUAAAAAGACUUUAAAUAAGUUAAAAUGAUCAUGGCUAAGAACUUAUUUAGCCUUCAAAAUUUAAUAAUAAUAAUUUUAUAUAAAGAAAACCUUUAUCUAACUAAAAUAAAGGAAAUCUUUAUUGUAUAUAUAUAAUAAUGUUUUACUAAGAUAAAAUAUUACAAUUUUCAACAAAACCAAAUUUAUUUCCUUAAAUUUCUAGAUAAGCUCGGGUGGACUGAUCAUGAAAUAAAUUUUUAAUAAAUACAAUAUUCAUUUUUUAUUAAUAAAUUAAUAUAGAGAGAAUUGUAGAAAUAGGAGAUUUAGCCAAAUUAAGAGUUAUUUUAUUAUAAUUUAAUAUAAUUAAUUGUUUUUUAAUUAUAAAAACUUCAAAUGAUAAAUAAAAGUGGACGGAAAAAAUAAAAUUUUUAAUAUGUGAAAAAAGAAGGUUGAAAUUAUAAGCAUAAAGGAAGAUGACAUUAAAGUUUUUUUCCCUCUAUUAUCCCAUAGAACUGAAAAAUACAAAUGGAAUUAAAUAGAAGAAAAAAAAAAUCAAUUUGGUUAUUUCGAAUUUGAAUAUGGAUUGUGUAUGGUUUAAUUUGAUUAUUUUAGUUAAAUUAAUUUUUAUUAAAAUAAAUUUUUUAUAAAUAAUUCAUAAAAGUUAAUUUUUGAAAUAAGUUUAAAUCUGCUGAUAUUUUUAUAAAUUCCACGUAACCAUGAAAAAAAAAUCAUAUUUAAUCAUGUUCUAUGAUCAAUAACUCAUUUGCACACUAAAUAUAUGGGUAUUGUAUCAUUACCCAAUAGCAUUUAAUGUGGGUGCCAACAAGGCUGGUGAUAGUUGGAGAAUAAAGGAGCGAAAAUGACUUGCUUUAUCCUAUUUGACCCGAACAAUUUGAUCCGAUUUGCUACUAUUAUUUGUAAUUUAAUUAUAUAAUUUUAAAAUAAACACAGAUUAAGAAAAAUUUCAACAACUUAAGUAAUUUUUAAAAAAAAAAAAAAAAAAAAAAAACUCUGAUUUCGACUGGACAAGUUUCCGAAUCUUGACAAAAUCCAAUACAAUUAAUACCAUGAGGCCGCUAGAUCUACAUUUAUUAAAUCCAAAUUAUGACUAUAUAAAGAAUUUUUAAAAAAAUGCUUAAUAUUAUAUGAUGUCACUAAUAAUUUGUACUCUCAUUUGCUAAUUUUAAUUGAUUUUCAAUACAAUGUGACUAAAUUGAUUAAAAUGAAUUUAAAUGUAUAAUUUCUUCAAUUGGAUUAAUAAUUCAAUGAUUAAAAGUUUAAAACUAAAUAUUAAAUAUUAAACUUUAAAAGAAUUUUAUUGAAACACAUUGUUUCUGCUUUUCUAAAUGAAAUUUAAAUUUCCUUUGUGUAAAGUUAUCAAUGAAUUUUCUUUUAUUUUAGAAGACAAAUGUAUUUUUAAAUUAAUAGCUGAGAGCACUAAUUUAAAAUUGUUAAAAAAAGUAAAUAAUUAAUAAGAAAUAAAAUAAUAAUUAAUAUAAUAAAUUUUUUUAAUUAGUAGAAUAAAGAGUGUAAAAUAUUUUUUUUUUGAAAUGGGUUAAAAUAAUUAUUUAAAAAAUAGUGAUUACAACUGCCAACUCAAAUAAUAAAUGCACAAGUAUUUUUCAAAUAUGUUGAGAAAUUAUUCAUAUAAAAUAAAUAAAUAUUAAUUAUAAUUAUAAUAAAUACUCAUAAUAAAUUUCUAUAAUAAAUAGAUUCUACACACAUAUAUAUAUUUCUGCUGUUGACUCUUCUUCUAUGAGAAUCUAACAUCUUCUUUGGGGACGACGUUAACAACUAGCAGUUUCUGUCAUGUCUAUUAUUUAAUAAGACAUAAAUUUAUUUUAUAAUUAAUAAUUAUUAUUUUUAUCCAAUUAAUUAUUUUUUAUUUUUUUAAAAAAAUUAUUAUUUAAUUUCUAAAAAUUAAUAUUAUUAUUAAUAAAUCAAUUUUAAUAUUUUUAAAAAUUUAUUAAAAUAUUUUUUAAUCCAUCAACAAAAUAAUUAUUUCAUCUAUUUCGCUAUUUAGAAAUAUAAUAAAAGAUCAAAUUAUCUUAUUUUUAUCUUAUUUUUCAUUUUUUUUUCUAGACGAUGUCUUCUCUUUUUUUUUUUAAAUAUUUUUUUUAAGAGAAAAAAUUAUUUCGUUGAUAAAAAAAACAUAUUAAUAAAUUUGAAAAAGAUAAAAANNNNNNNNNNNNNNNNNNNNNNNNNNNNNNNNNNNNNNNNNNNNNNNNNNNNNNNNNNNNNNNNNNNNNNNNNNNNNNNNNNNNNNNNNNNNNNNNNNNNNNNNNNNNNNNNNNNNNNNNNNNNNNNNNNNNNNNNNNNNNNNNNNNNNNNNNNNNNNNNNNNNNNNNNNNNNNNNNNNNNNNNNNNNNNNNNNNNNNNNNNNNNNNNNNNNNNNNNNNNNNNNNNNNNNNNNNNNNNNNNNNNNNNNNNNNNNNNNNNNNNNNNNNNNNNNNNNNNNNNNNNNNNNNNNNNNNNNNNNNNNNNNNNNNNNNNNNNNNNNNNNNAUAUAAUAAAUAAUAGGGUGUUAAUUAACAAAAUUAAUUAUUAUAAGAUAUUAGAUUUAUUUAUUUUAUAUACAUAUAAUUUUAUAUAUUAUUAUAUACAUAUAAUUUUAUUUUGUUUUCCGGUGUAUUUGUGCUUUUCAGAUUAGUAAUAUUAUUUUUAUAAUAUUAGAUUAAUUAAUAUUACUAAAAUAUUUAAAUAAUAUUUGAAUAUAGUACAUUUCUUUAAUAUAUUAUUAAGAGCAUAUAAUAUUUUUUAUUUUUAAAUGAAAAAACAAUCAUAUAAUUUAACUAAAACUCAUGGUAUUAUAUAUAUAUAUAUAUAUUUAUCUUAAUAUUUCUAUUAUAUUGAUUCCUAUUAUUUUUUAUUAUGAAAUCUACAUAAAAAAAUACGAGAGACAAAAAGUUUAAUUUAUAUGUAAAAAAGCAAAAAGAUAGGUUAGUUUUUUUUCCCUAUAUAUUCCAAAUUAUAAAUUCAUUUUUUCAAUAUAAUGAUUUAUUUAUUAUAUUUUUAAUACACUUUUAUUUAAUAUUUAAUAGAAUAUAUAAUAUAAGUGAAUCACAUUAUUAUACUAUAAAAUAUUCGGUAAAUUAUCAUUGCAAAAUAGAUUCACUGAUAAAAUUUUAGUAAAUAAAAAAUACGGUCUACUCUAUCCAGAUAUCAUAAUAUCUUGUUUAUUAUUAAAAUUCACUCUUUUCUCAAUAAAAUGAGUUUUAAUAUGAAAUUAGUGUUAACAAAUAUGGUUUAACUUAUUCAUUACACUUACUUAUUAAUCGGCGAUAUUCUUUAUUAAAUAAAAAUCACAUCAUUGUUGGAUAAUUAAAAAAUAUUAUAUUUAUCUCAACUUUUUUAUCGUAUAAAAGGAAAAAAAUUACAAACACUACUCAAAUUUUAAAUCAUGAAGUAUAUUCUCUUUAAUUUUUAAUAUAUUGAUUUAAUUGUCAGAGAUGAUUAUGAAUAUCCACCGCUACGUAACUUUCUUGUAUAUCUGCGCAAUCAAAGCAUAUUUUGAUUUUGAAUAUAUCAUUAAUUUGAUCAACGCAAUAUAAGAUAUAUUAUAAAAAGACAAUUUAACUUUAUUAUUUUAACUAUAUUAGUAAUAUUUUUAAUUUAUUUAAAAAAAUAGUCGAUUUAUUUUUAUGGCCGGGAGAGAUUAAUGAAUUUAAAGAACUACUUAUUGCUUUAUUUUAAACUUUUAAAGCAUUAAAUAGCUAUUUGUGAAAGGGCAACUCUCCAGCUAAAAGCCAAGAUAGAGAAAUUGAGCAAUGAAUGGCAGGAAUUUAAGAGUGGGAUCCAAAUUUAUGGCUGACAACAAUCCAAGUAGUUAGGAGUUAGGGUAAAGGUCUUCAAUUGAGAGAGAUACAAUAAAUCGUCGAUUGUUUCUAGCAUUUUUUUUUUUAUAAAUUAUACAUUUAAAAAAGAAAAAUUAAUAAUCAGCAGUUGGCAUUAAUUUCUUGCUUUAAUGAAGUUUUGUUGUCAGGAUAGACUACACUUAUGAUGCGAAAUUAUUUUAGAAACUACCCAGGAUAUUAGACAUUAAUAAGACCAAGUCUACUAUAUACUUCAUAUGAAAAAUGAAUUUAAUAAUAGUUAAUUCCAUGGAAAUUCACAUCUUGUCUCGUAUACAAAGAUUGAAUCUUUAGUCAGAUUAUGAACAUGUUGAUUAGUUAAGCUACGAAAGCAGUAUGGGAAAUGUAAACUUUAAAGUCCAUUACUCACUGGAAGAAGUUACACAUAUUUAACAAAAAAAUAAACUCAAAUGUCAUAUGCGGUGUCAAAUUUUGCGGGUAUGCUUAGUUUUACAAGCGAGAAACAAACUACUUGAGUUUCAACUCUUGUUGCUUUCUGCGUGGAAACUGGAAACCAUAUGAAUCUGUAUACGAUUGACCUUGUACAAUUUUCUUUUAACAAGCAAAUGACAGCCAUGAUGAUGAUGAACUUCCAUUCAUGUAUUUUCCUUUAUAAAUCAUAUAAUCUAUUUAUUAUGUUGUAUAUAAAUUAUUUUACAAAAUAUUUUGGUAUAUAAAUAAAUAAAAAUCAAAAUCUAUGUUUAAUUGGUUAGAAAAUUUUUCCCUAUCAAACGAGGGUUCUACGUCAUUCAAUCUCAAUCACACAAUUCUUCAAUACCUAUCAAAUUAACUCAUCAUCUAGAUGUUUAGCUAGAUAUCAAUAUACAAAUAUAUUCGCUCUAUCUCAUGGGAGAUUUUUGAAAGAUCUGUUUCUGGUACAUUUCCAAUUGCUGGAUUAUGUCACACCUGUUACCAGCAUUCCCUUCACAUCAUCUGCUAACAUUUCCUUAGGAACAUUUGCCAACAUUCUCAACUCUUCAACACAUGUCCUCUCCAUAUUCAUCCAUUGACUUGGAAUAAUGCCUUGCCCCACAGAUCCACCUAUUAGGUAUUAUCAAAAUAUUUAUUAUUAUUAAUAAAAUUGAUAUUAAAUAAAUAUUUGUUAGAAGUAGUCUACAUCUUAAUAAAUUAAUUCGAUACAAAUAAAAUAACAGCAGUAAUUAUGUCAAAACAAUGUUUGCAUUUAUCAACUAUCAAUUAUAAAUUCCCUACUCUUUCUCCUACACAACUUGGCCUCUUUUUUCAUUCGUUGUUAGGUUGGCUUUGUGUGUGGGAAUGCCUCAACCAACCAGAUUUUUCAGAUUAUAGGUCUGGUUGUUUUUUAGUAUUAGAUUCUAACUUAAUAAAAGUUCAAUUUAUUUAUUGUUGAAACUUAAUUUUUAAAUUUAUUUAAUAAAAGCUAGAUAUGAAAGGAUUAAAAUAUAAUUAAAAAAAUUAUUAAAUAAUUUGAAUUAAAAUUUUUUUUUUCUAAAUGGUAAAUGAAUCUAAGAAUAAUUUUACUAGACUUUUAUAAUUCGAUUUAUUAAAAAUCAAGAGUUUAUUUAUUUAUAGAUUUGCGAUUGAAUUAUAUAUAUAUUUCAUCGAUUAAAAUCAUUUAAUUAUAAGAAUAAUAGUAUUAAAAGUAAGGAGAGCUCGGAAAACUUUGGUAAAAAAACAGGAUCAAAAUCCAACCAAAACAACAAAACAAAACUUGUAACAAACACUGGAACACAGUCCCACAAACUAGGAGCAUAAUCAACAACAUAAUAAUAUCCAGGGCAAUGAAAUCUUCAUUCUUGAAAGAUCUUAAUUAUUUGGCUAAAGUUCAGGAUUUCUUCUUGCUUAUCACGAAUUCCAUGUAAAUAGUCUGUCUUCACUGGAAUUGGAAGGUUUCAAUUCCGUAUUGUAGCCACAAUUACCUUGAUUGGAGCUUGUCCAGUCAAGAAAUAUGACCCCAAUUAUAGCUCUAGCAAUGAGGCUACAUAAGAACCUGUUGAAAAAACUAGGCAAAUGGACUGCUUCUUUAGGAUCAUUUUCAUUGAAUUGGUCAGCUCCUAAGCUACCAUUUGCAGCUUCACACUGUUUUUUCUUAUCUGGUGCAACACCUUUGCAUGAUGGCCUCAGUCCAACAAAAUCUCAGUAAAUAAAAAUGAUGGCAUGAUGAAGAUAGAGAGCAGGAACAAACAAAAGAAACCAAAUUCACAUGAAGUUUUAUAAAUCUAGAUUGGGUUUCAAGGGGAGACCCGCCGGCUUUGAGUUAGUUAAAUGUCGCAUGGUCAAUUUUUCUGACAAUUAUUAAUAAAAUUUUGCUCAUUAAAGUGAAAAUGAUGAUUUAUAUGAAAAAAAAAAAAAGACUUGCCAAAGUUUGCUGGGACAAUGUAAGUGUGAAACGAAAAACAAAAAGAAACUAGAAGUUUAUUUGGGAUCUCAACCAUAUAUAAAAGCGUCUGUAAUUGGAGUUAUCCCUGUAACCAAACCAUAAGGUGAAACACAGUUCACUCUUAUA